Molecule: ribosomal RNA, 170 nt
Filed under: Planococcus glaciei
Lineage: Bacteria; Bacillati; Bacillota; Bacilli; Caryophanales; Caryophanaceae
Description: Planomicrobium glaciei partial 16S ribosomal RNA
Rfam family: Bacterial small subunit ribosomal RNA
Source: RNAcentral
CUAUAAUGGAGAGUUUGAUCCUGGCUCAGGACGAACGCUGGCGGCGUGCCUAAUACAUGCAAGUCGAGCGGAAGUUGAAGAGCUUGCUCUUCAACUUUAGCGGCGGACGGGUGAGUAACACGUGGGCAACCUGCCCUGCAGAUCGGGAUAACUCCGGGAAACCGGUGCUA